GCCCGUCUAGCUCAAUCGGAUAGAGCGUCAGACUCUUAAUCUGAAGGCUGCGGGUUCGACCCCCGCGGUGGGCU
RNAcentral lists this transfer RNA (74 nucleotides) under Fibroporia radiculosa. RNAcentral describes it as "tRNA-Lys (CTT) (tRNA-Lys-CTT-1-1)". It matches the Rfam family "tRNA". From Rfam's summary of the family: Transfer RNA (tRNA) molecules are approximately 80 nucleotides in length. Lineage: Eukaryota; Fungi; Basidiomycota; Agaricomycetes; Polyporales; Fibroporiaceae. The record is from RNAcentral.